GGAUGAAGUGACUUGCCCAGGAUCACACAGCUGUCUGAGGCUAAAUUUGAACUCCAGAACACAAGUCUUGCUGAUUCCGACUCUGUGCAUUAUGGCAUCCCUAGCUGCCCAGAACCUGGGCCGGUGCUUCAGACACAGUCGACCAUCAAGGAACGUUUGCUCAAGUGUUGAAAUUGGACUUCACGACGUGGGGCCUUGUGGGCAUUUUUCCCCAACAAGCAUUUCUUAGAUUUUACCACAUUCAGCUCUAGCAGUCACAUGGCCCAAGGCUGCCAUGUUGUCGGGAUGGGAACUCUAUCAAGGGAAAACUGAAGGAAGAAAGAUGAAGGAGCUUGCUCUCCUUUUGCCCUAACUCUUGUGGCCACCAUGGGAUGUCCUUAAGGAUCCCCCAGGGACUUUGGCUCAUGCUCCAAGUGUUUCAGUGGCAAGCCAUCCAUGCCCUAGAAACUUUGUGGAGAGCUCGGACGCCAUAUGCUCUGUGGAGUUCAGCUCCAAUAAAACAGUUUUUGAAAUUAAAUGUAAAAAGUAGACUUGGGUAAAUCGGAAACAAUAACCAACACUGGGCGGUCAGGACUUUGUCCACGGGAGCUCACAUCCUGGGCAGGGGGGAGGCGGACACUUUUCCUCCCCCAGGGGAUCUGUGGCCAUGCCCCUGGGUACGUGGCAGUAACUCCUUUCUUUCUACCUCUUCCCAGGUUGGGGUGGGGGGCUGUGGAGCAGGGACACGGGCUACACUACCUCCUCACGAGACAUAAACUGCCCACAGUAUUGUGUCUCCCCUGGUGCAGCAGAUGAGAGGAUAAUAAUAAGAGAUUCACAAGAAAAUGCCAGCAGUGAUUAUGUUUCCUCCUUGUUUUUAUUUAUUGUGCCCAGCUCUUACUUUGCUCCUCUUUUCUCUGCCAAGGAUUAUGAUCUUUGGACUAAGAAGGAAAGAGUAAAAAUAUCUAACAGGGUGUUUAAAGCCCAAUAAGUGAGGGCAGAGUAAAAGAACAGUCAGAUCUCCUCUCCGAAUUAAAGAUUCACCGGCCUGGGAACCAGAGUGGAUUCAUCCUGCCAGACCAGCCUCCCUUCUCUCUGCCCCCAACUCCUUCUUGGAUAGGGUUUCUAGUCUGGUGAAUAGAGAGAGUGGAUGGAAAAUACCUGGGUUUUAAGGAGGCAUUUGACUCGGAGUGUCCGGCUACACCUGUGGAGGAGCGGAAGAGAUAUGGGUGGCCCACCAAGAGAAUUUUAGAUUUUCUAUCACCCACUAUCCCUCUCCCCUCGGAGGACAGGGAGAAGUUUGCUUUGUCCAUGGAUCUCUGGGGCCUAGAACUUAUUCCUAGAUGCUCAUUCCAAGCUGCAUGAUGGGUAUAGCCUGUGAUUUUAUUUAUGUAGGAAACUCUUAGUGAGAAAGCUCCCUCUUUCAAUGUUUAGUCUUAGAGAAUUGUCUGGGGCCCAAGGGGAAGG
Long non-coding RNA from Sarcophilus harrisii (Tasmanian devil), 1446 nucleotides. RefSeq lists it as uncharacterized. The record is from RefSeq and is a predicted model, not a curated record. Lineage: Eukaryota; Metazoa; Chordata; Mammalia; Dasyuromorphia; Dasyuridae. The transcript has 3 exons.